RNAcentral lists this ribosomal RNA (752 nucleotides) under uncultured archaeon. RNAcentral's name for it is "bacterial SSU rRNA". It matches the Rfam family "Archaeal small subunit ribosomal RNA", at positions 52 to 805 of the family's 1478-position model. The record is from RNAcentral.
UGCUAGUUGUACGAGUUCAGACUCGUAGCGAAUAGCUCAGUAACACGUGGCCAAACUACCCUUCGGAGCACGAUACCCUCGGGAAACUGAGGCUAAUAGUGCAUACCACACUCACCCUGGAAUGGCGAGUGUGCCAAACGCUCCGGCGCCGAAGGACGUGGCUGCGGCCGAUUAGGUAGACGGUGGGGUAACGGCCCACCGUGCCGAUAAUCGGUACGGGUGGUGAGAGCCAGAACCCGGAGACGGAAUCUGAGACAAGAUUCCGGGCCCUACGGGGCGCAGCAGGCGCGAAACCUUUACACUGCACGACAGUGCGAUAAGGGGAUCCCAAGUGCGUAGGCAUAGAGCCUACGCUUUUGUACACCGUAGGGAGGUGUACGAAUAAGGGCUGGGCAAGACCGGUGCCAGCCGCCGCGGUAAUACCGGCAGCCCGAGUGACGGCCGAUCUUAUUGGGCCUAAAGCGUCCGUAGCUGGCCGCACAAGUCCAUCGGAAAAUCCACCCGCUCAACGGGUGGGCGUCCGGUGGAAACUGUGUGGCUUGGGACCGGAAGGCGCGACGGGUACGUCCGGGGUAGGAGUGAAAUCCCGUAAUCCUGGACGGACCGCCGAUGGCGAAAGCACGUCGCGAGAACGGAUCCGACAGUGAGGGACGAAAGCUAGGGUCUCGAACCGGAUUAGAUACCCGGGUAGUCCUAGCCGUAAACGAUGCCUGUUAGGUGUGGCUCCCACUACGAGUGGGUGCUGUGCCGUA